UGUGGUCUAGGAGCUUACACAACCUUGCAUGCAUUCAGUUGGUGUGAAGAUGGAUUGGAUUGCCCUGUUGAAACAACAGUGAAAGCUAGGGGAUCAUCAGAAGGUCAAUGUGGCUUACAGCAGUUUAAGCAAGGAAGUUUACCAAUUAGGAACUCGAAAGGUGAAAGGCCUGAAGUAGUGGGUUUUGAUGGUGAAUCCAAUGUUGAUGGAAAUCAUUUAGCCUCAGCUAGUCAUUCUAGAGAAGUUACAAGAGGAUUGAAACCCCGAUUAGGUCACAAUGUUCCUUGUACUGAAGAACAAAGCCGCUUUUUUGUUUAUUGUAAACUAUGUGAUUGUGUGAGGCCAGCAAAACUGCGUGUCAGCUGUAAGAAGUGCGGGAAUGGUGUUUUCUUGGUUGAUAGAGGCCCAUCCAACUGGGAUGAUAUCUCUCCAUCAACUAACAUCAAAGGAAACUGCAAAAGUCCAAACUGU
Long non-coding RNA from Physella acuta, 471 nucleotides. RefSeq lists it as uncharacterized. Lineage: Eukaryota; Metazoa; Mollusca; Gastropoda; Physidae. The record is from RefSeq and is a predicted model, not a curated record.